This 425-nucleotide ribosomal RNA is filed under the name uncultured bacterium. RNAcentral's name for it is "bacterial SSU rRNA". It matches the Rfam family "Bacterial small subunit ribosomal RNA", at positions 359 to 776 of the family's 1533-position model. The record is from RNAcentral.
GAAUAUUGGACAAUGGGCGCAAGCCUGAUCCAGCCAUGCCGCGUGUGUGAAGAAGGCCUUCGGGUUGUAAAGCACUUUUGUACGGGAAGAAACCUUCCGGGCUAAUACCCCGGGAGAAUGACGGUACCGUAAGAAUAAGCACCGGCUAACUUCGUGCCAGCAGCCGCGGUAAUACGAAGGGUGCAAGCGUUACUCGGAAUUACUGGGCGUAAAGCGCACGUAGGCGGUGUGUUAAGUUGGAUGUGAAAGCCCCGGGCUCAACCUGGGAAUUGCAUUCAAAACUGGCACGCUAGAGUAUGUGAGAGGGGGGUAGAAUUCCAAGUGUAGCGGUGAAAUGCGUAGAGAUUUGGAGGAAUACCAGUGGCGAAGGCGGCCCCCUGGCACAAUACUGACGCUCAGGUGCGAAAGCGUGGGGAGCAAACAGG